UAUCUGGACUUUUUCAGUAUGAUGUAUGUCAAGGAAUCAGCCUAAGUGAUAAAAGUAGGAAAGGAAAGAAAAUCUGCACCAGAGUAAUUUCAAAGGAGCUGUUAACACUUUCAUUUCUGAAACUUCCUUACUGGCACAAGGGAGAACUAAAGGAAUCAGAGAGAUUCAAAGACAAUUUAAUGUAUCUGUGCCUAAAAUGCUUUGCUAUCACACAUGUUUGUACUGUGCAAGGUCUCAAUCCUUCUACGACUUCAGUGAGUUCAAAUGUUGCCACUCAGUGACAGGCAUCAGAAAGUGCAUGGGACAGGGAAGCCUUUGUAAAUACACUGCCCCUCAGCCGGACCUCAGCAACAGGAAGAGGUUCAGGCCAAGGCCCAGUGCUCUCUCCAC
Neopelma chrysocephalum (saffron-crested tyrant-manakin) is the source of this 390-nucleotide long non-coding RNA. RefSeq lists it as uncharacterized. The transcript has 4 exons. NCBI's taxonomy places the organism in Eukaryota, Metazoa, Chordata, Aves, Passeriformes, Pipridae. The record is from RefSeq and is a predicted model, not a curated record.